RNAcentral lists this ribosomal RNA (2903 nucleotides) under Proteus mirabilis. RNAcentral's name for it is "23S ribosomal RNA". It matches the Rfam family "Bacterial large subunit ribosomal RNA". The record is from RNAcentral. Lineage: Bacteria; Pseudomonadati; Pseudomonadota; Gammaproteobacteria; Enterobacterales; Morganellaceae.
GGUUAAGCGAAUAAGCGUACACGGUGGAUGCCUAGGCAAUCAGAGGCGAUGAAGGACGUGCUAAUCUGCGAAAAGCGUCGGUAAGGUGAUAUGAACCGUUAUACCCGACGAUAUCCGAAUGGGGAAACCCAGUAUCCAAUGGAUACUAUCAUUAACUGAAUCCAUAGGUUAAUGAGGCGAACCGGGAGAACUGAAACAUCUCAGUACCCCGAGGAAAAGAAAUCAACCGAGAUUCCCCUAGUAGCGGCGAGCGAACGGGGAGCAGCCCAGAGUCUUAAUCAAUAACAGUGUCAGGAGAACGGUCUGGAAAGUCCGGCAGUAAAGGGUGAUAGCCCCGUAUCUGAAGAUGCUGUUGUUGUGAACUCGACGAGUAGGGCGGGACACGUGUUAUCCUGUCUGAAUAUGGGGGGACCAUCCUCCAAGGCUAAAUACUCCUGAUUGACCGAUAGUGAACCAGUACCGUGAGGGAAAGGCGAAAAGAACCCCGGCGAGGGGAGUGAAAAAGAACCUGAAACCGUGUACGUACAAGCAGUAGGAGCCUCUUUAUGGGGUGACUGCGUACCUUUUGUAUAAUGGGUCAGCGACUUAUAUUCUGUAGCAAGGUUAACCGUAUAGGGGAGCCGUAGGGAAACCGAGUCUUAACUGGGCGAAUGAGUUGCAGGGUAUAGACCCGAAACCCGGUGAUCUAUCCAUGGGCAGGUUGAAGGUUGGGUAACACUAACUGGAGGACCGAACCGACUAAUGUUGAAAAAUUAGCGGAUGACUUGUGGAUGGGGGUGAAAGGCCAAUCAAACCGGGAGAUAGCUGGUUCUCCCCGAAAGCUAUUUAGGUAGCGCCUCGUGAACUCAUCUUCGGGGGUAGAGCACUGUUUCGACUAGGGGGUCAUCCCGACUUACCAACUCGAUGCAAACUGCGAAUACCGAAGAAUGUUAUCACGGGAGACACACGGCGGGUGCUAACGUCCGUCGUGAAGAGGGAAACAACCCAGACCGCCAGCUAAGGUCCCAAAGUCAUGGUUAAGUGGGAAACGAAGUGGGAAGGCUCAGACAGCCAGGAUGUUGGCUUAGAAGCAGCCAUCAUUUAAAGAAAGCGUAAUAGCUCACUGGUCGAGUCGGCCCGCGCGGAAGAUGUAACGGGGCUAAACCAUGCACCGAAGCUGCGGCAGCGACACAAAGUGUUGUUGGGUAGGGGAGCGUUCUGUAAGCCUGCGAAGGUGUACUGUGAGGUAUGCUGGAGGUAUCAGAAGUGCGAAUGCUGACAUAAGUAACGAUAAUGCGGGUGAAAAACCCGCACGCCGGAAGACCAAGGGUUCCUGUCCAACGUUAAUCGGGGCAGGGUGAGUCGACCCCUAAGGCGAGGCUGAAAAGCGUAGUCGAUGGGAAACGGGUUAAUAUUCCCGUACUGGUGGUAACUGCGAUGGGGGAACGGAGAAGGCUAGGUUGUCCGGGCGACGGUCGUCCCGGUUCAAGCAGGUAGGCAGAGUGAUUAGGCAAAUCCGGUCACUUAAUGCUGAGAUGUGAUGACGAACCACCAAGGUGGUGAAGCAAUUGAUGCCCCGCUUCCAGGAAAAGCCUCUAAGCUUCAGGUUACCAACAAUCGUACCCCAAACCGACACAGGUGGUCAGGUAGAGAAUACUCAGGCGCUUGAGAGAACUCGGGUGAAGGAACUAGGCAAAAUGGUGCCGUAACUUCGGGAGAAGGCACGCUGGCGGUAGGUAAAGUCCCUUGCGGACGGCGCUGAAGCCAGUCGAAGAUACCAGCUGGCUGCAACUGUUUAUUAAAAACACAGCACUGUGCAAACACGAAAGUGGACGUAUACGGUGUGACGCCUGCCCGGUGCUGGAAGGUUAAUUGAUGGGGUCAGCCGUAAGGCGAAGCUCCUGAUCGAAGCCCCAGUAAACGGCGGCCGUAACUAUAACGGUCCUAAGGUAGCGAAAUUCCUUGUCGGGUAAGUUCCGACCUGCACGAAUGGCGUAAUGAUGGCCAGGCUGUCUCCACCCGAGACUCAGUGAAAUUGAACUCGCUGUGAAGAUGCAGUGUACCCGCGGCAAGACGGAAAGACCCCGUGAACCUUUACUAUAGCUUGACACUGAACAUUGAGCCUUGAUGUGUAGGAUAGGUGGGAGGCUUUGAAGUGUGGACGCCAGUCUGCAUGGAGCCAACCUUGAAAUACCACCCUUUAACGUUUGAUGUUCUAACCUAGGCCCAUAAACUGGGUCGGGGACCGUGUCUGGUGGGUAGUUUGACUGGGGCGGUCUCCUCCUAAAGAGUAACGGAGGAGCACGAAGGUUGGCUAAGCAUGGUCGGACAUCAUGCGGUUAGUGCAAAGGCAUAAGCCAGCUUGACUGCGAGAGUGACGGCUCGAGCAGGUACGAAAGUAGGUCUUAGUGAUCCGGUGGUUCUGAAUGGAAGGGCCAUCGCUCAACGGAUAAAAGGUACUCCGGGGAUAACAGGCUGAUACCGCCCAAGAGUUCAUAUCGACGGCGGUGUUUGGCACCUCGAUGUCGGCUCAUCACAUCCUGGGGCUGAAGUAGGUCCCAAGGGUAUGGCUGUUCGCCAUUUAAAGUGGUACGCGAGCUGGGUUUAGAACGUCGUGAGACAGUUCGGUCCCUAUCUGCCGUGGGCGUUGGAAGAUUGAGAGGGGUUGCUCCUAGUACGAGAGGACCGGAGUGAACGCACCACUGGUGUUCGGGUUGUCAUGCCAAUGGCAUUGCCCGGUAGCUAAGUGCGGAAGAGAUAACCGCUGAAAGCAUCUAAGCGGGAAACUUGCCUCGAGAUGAGUCUUCCCUGUCGCUUUAAGCGACCUAAAGGAACGUUUAAGACUAAGACGUUGAUAGGCUGGGUGUGUAAGCGUAGCGAUACGUUGAGCUAACCAGUACUAAUGAACCGUGAGGCUUAACCUG